CGCAGUCUGCAACUCGACUGCGUGAAGGUGGAGUCGCUAGUAAUCGCGGAUCAGCAACGCCGCGGUGAAUGCGUUCCCGGGCCUUGUACACACCGCCCGUCAAGUCAUGAAAGUGGGCAGCACCCGAAGACGGUGGCCUAACCCUUGUGGGGGGAGCCGUCUAAGGUGAGGCUCGUGAUUGGGACUAAGUCGUAACAAGGUAAC
This 204-nucleotide ribosomal RNA is filed under the name uncultured bacterium. Its description in RNAcentral is "partial 16S ribosomal RNA". It matches the Rfam family "Bacterial small subunit ribosomal RNA", at positions 1299 to 1500 of the family's 1533-position model. The record is from RNAcentral.